Molecule: transfer-messenger RNA, 361 nt
Filed under: Melioribacteraceae
Lineage: Bacteria; Pseudomonadati; Ignavibacteriota; Ignavibacteria; Ignavibacteriales
Also listed under: 1 other name
Description: JAGFIY01 sp024103215 Standard tmRNA
Rfam family: transfer-messenger RNA
About the family: Bacterial tmRNA, also known as 10Sa RNA or SsrA, is named for its dual tRNA and mRNA-like properties. Its role is to liberate the mRNA from a stalled ribosome.
Source: RNAcentral
GGGGGUGAAAUUGGUUUCGACGGGAUUAUUAGUUCUUUGAAUUGCGCACCGUGUUCUCCGUAGACACGUUAAACGACGGAACAAAAUCUAAAUGGCGAAUCUAAUUACGCUUUAGCUGCGUAACUAAUAGUUAUACAGCCGUUCAUUAAAUCCCUUCGCAUCGGGAUUUAUUCGAACGCCGAUUAGGUGCGAUAGCCUGACUGAGUUUCCGAGUAACGAGGGCGAAUCUUUUUUUCGGAAUAGCUGAUGUAAAUCCUGUCUGCCGGAGCUGCUUCAGCGAAAAUUAAAAGGCGGACUAUGUGCGUAGAAGUUCCUAGAAUUGUAGUUUCGGACGCGGGUUCGACUCCCGCCACCUCCACUA